Molecule: ribosomal RNA, 315 nt
Filed under: Triticum aestivum (bread wheat)
Lineage: Eukaryota; Viridiplantae; Streptophyta; Magnoliopsida; Poales; Poaceae
Description: partial small subunit ribosomal RNA
Source: RNAcentral
AUGGCUGGGGUGGCACGGGGGUUGAGAACCUACACGGUCGAAGGAGUCGCCGACGCUAGGAGCAGCGACAGGGGCGCGAAGGCUGCGAGGAGCUGUGGAAGAGAAGGAAGGGCGGCGAUUAGCAAGGGAGUUGAGGAGGAAGGAGGCCAAGGUGUUGUGAUCCUAUGGCCGGCCAGCGGUAGAGGGUUAGGAACCACUCCCGAUCGGGUCGAGGGAGAGAGCAAGGAAUUGGGACAAGCUGAGGGGAUCGAGAGCACUCCCUGGCAUCGAUGUGUGGGUGACGAUGUUGGAGGGAGAUGGGGAUCGAGGGGGUGA